UGACAGUACCAUUGCCAUGUCCAUAGGAUCCAUGCUUAAAACUACUCUUCUUAUUUCUACUCCUAUGACCAUCUGGUUUCACCUUUGGGGUUGAAGGACAUAAACUACUGCUUCUCUUCAACUGCCAAACUGACUGAUUUGAACUUUGAUUUUGAUUCAUUGAUGGAGCGUUAAUGGUCGGAGCAGCUGUUUGGUUCUUGAUUUGAAGAGGAAGGAUCUUACCAUUGGAGAAAAGUUCAUUUGCUGAUGAAAAAU
Molecule: long non-coding RNA, 255 nt
Filed under: Gossypium barbadense (sea-island cotton)
Lineage: Eukaryota; Viridiplantae; Streptophyta; Magnoliopsida; Malvales; Malvaceae
Description: long non-coding RNA (GBAR_LNC006880)
Source: RNAcentral